GCCGGGGUGGUGGAAUUGGCUAUACGCGCUAGCUUCAGGAGCUAGUGAGGGAAACCUCAUGGGGGUUCGACUCCCCCCCUCGGCACCA
This 88-nucleotide transfer RNA is filed under the name Candidatus Omnitrophota bacterium. RNAcentral describes it as "Candidatus Omnitrophica bacterium tRNA-Leu". It matches the Rfam family "tRNA". From Rfam's summary of the family: Transfer RNA (tRNA) molecules are approximately 80 nucleotides in length. RNAcentral also lists the same sequence under 1 other name. The record is from RNAcentral. Lineage: Bacteria; Pseudomonadati; Candidatus Omnitrophota.